CAGGUCUUGACAUCCCACUGACCGGCUUAGAGAUAGGCUUUUCCCUUCGGGGACAGUGGUGACAGGUGGUGCAUGGUUGUCGUCAGCUCGUGUCGUGAGAUGUUGGGUUAAGUCCCGCAACGAGCGCAACCCUUGAUCUUAGUUGCCAGCAUUCAGUUGGGCACUCUAAGGUGACUGCCGGUGAUAAACCGGAGGAAGGCGGGGAUGACGUCAAAUCAUCAUGCCCCUUAUGACCUGGGCUACACACGUGCUACAAUGGACGAUACAAAGGGCUGCAAACCCGCGAGGGGGAGCCAAUCCCAUAAAAUCGUUCUCAGUUCGGAUUGUAGGCUGCAACUCGCCUACAUGAAGCCGGAAUCGCUAGUAAUCGUGGAUCAGCAUGCCACGGUGAAUACGUUCCC
RNAcentral lists this ribosomal RNA (401 nucleotides) under uncultured bacterium. Its description in RNAcentral is "bacterial SSU rRNA". It matches the Rfam family "Bacterial small subunit ribosomal RNA", at positions 975 to 1375 of the family's 1533-position model. The record is from RNAcentral.